This 322-nucleotide ribosomal RNA is filed under the name Clostridioides difficile. Its description in RNAcentral is "bacterial LSU rRNA". It matches the Rfam family "Bacterial large subunit ribosomal RNA", at positions 334 to 658 of the family's 2925-position model. Lineage: Bacteria; Bacillati; Bacillota; Clostridia; Peptostreptococcales; Peptostreptococcaceae. The record is from RNAcentral.
UGAAGAGGUUUGGAAAGACCCACCACAGAAGGUAAUAGUCCUGUAUGUUAAACGAGAAGACUUCAGAUAUGAUCCAGAGUACCACGGGACACGUGAAACCCUGUGGGAAGCAGGAGGGACCACCCUCAAAGGCUAAAUACUACCUAGUGACCGAUAGCGUAUAGUACCGUGAGGGAAAGGGGAAAAGAACCCCGGGAGGGGAGUGAAAUAGAACCUGAAACCCUGCACUUACAAGCUGUGGAAGCACAUUUCUUGUGUGACCGCGUACUUUUUGUAGAACGGGCCAACGAGUUACGUUAAGUAGCAAGGUUAAGCACUUAAG